Molecule: non-coding RNA, 208 nt
Organism: Oryza glumipatula
Lineage: Eukaryota; Viridiplantae; Streptophyta; Magnoliopsida; Poales; Poaceae
Source: Rfam
GUCAAGUGUACUGAUUUUAAGUUUUUACUUGCAACGUUUGACCACUCGUUUUAUUCAAAAUUUUUUGAAAUUAUUAUUUAUUUUAUUUGUGACUUACUUUAUUAUUUACAGUACUUUAAGCACAACUUUUUAAUUUUUAUAUUUGCAAAAAAAAUUUGAAUAAGACGAGUGGUCAAACGUUACAAACAAAAACUCAAAAUCCCUUAUA